UGCCCGGUGUUUAUAUAAACGGCCGNAGUACCUAUGACUGUGCUAAGGUAGCAUAAUCAAUUGGCUAUUAAUUGUAGUCUAGUAUGAAUGAAGUAAUGAAUAGUAGCUAUAAUAAAAAAUAUUAUUUUAAUUUAAUGAACUGGUGAAAAUACCAGUAUAUAGAAAAAAGACGAGAAGACCCUUAGAGUUUUUGAAAUAAAGAUUGUUUAAGACUUUAAUUUAGACUACUCUUAAAGUAAUUAUACAAUACACUUUUUUGUUGGGGCGACAAGAAAGCAAUAUAACCUUUCUAUUGACACUAAAAGUGGUAUUAGAUCUGACGAUAUUAUUAUGAAUGACUAAACUACCUGAGGGAUAACAGCAUAAUGAUAA
RNAcentral lists this ribosomal RNA (372 nucleotides) under Physella acuta. RNAcentral describes it as "partial 16S ribosomal RNA". Lineage: Eukaryota; Metazoa; Mollusca; Gastropoda; Physidae. The record is from RNAcentral.